Non-coding RNA from Musa acuminata subsp. malaccensis (wild Malaysian banana), 632 nucleotides. Lineage: Eukaryota; Viridiplantae; Streptophyta; Magnoliopsida; Zingiberales; Musaceae. The record is from RefSeq and is a predicted model, not a curated record.
ACAUGAUUGCCUCCCGUUCUCUAACUCGUGUUCUAAGCCGGUGACAAAGUUCGGAGACCAAUGUGUGCGCUGUCCGCCCUCGAGCCUCUGUGAUCGGCAUCCCCAGCGGUGUCAGAAUCUGCGGGGCCUUCGUGCUCGGCGGCAGCCGCCGGAGCGUCGCUCUCCGCCACGCCGGUGGCCGGACGACUGCCGCCUUCGCACCCCUGCCUCGAUGGAGGAAUUGCUCGACAACUUCAAUUGCCUCGGAAAGAAGUCUGCCCUCUUCGGCGUUGCCUUCUAAUCUUCCCAAGACGAUUAUAAAGGCAAAGAGCAUCACUCAUGUUGGCAUGUAGAUGAUGCAGAGCAUCUGAAACUACUAUGUGUUGGUGAAAUGAUACAAAGGAAUACUAGCACUGAGAAGCGGGUUGGCCGUUCACCAAUAAGUUAGCUGAUUAAGAGCAUUAAACACCAUGCACCAUCUCAGCCAUUUGAGCUUGCAAUUUUCUUCGCCAUAAUUUCCUAAAUCUUUGCUUUGUUAGAUUAUCUACAAUCUUCUGGUAAUCAAAUCUGUCUUCCAUUCGUUGACUUCAUGUAUUAGUCAAUGUUGAUGCAAAGACUGUAACCAUUGAAGGUGUUGUGUUAACCUAGUCGAA